UGGUGGAGUGAUUUGUCUGGUUAAUUCCGUUAACGAACGAGACCUCGACCUGCUAAAUAGUUCGCAUCAGACCUCGGUCUGAUGACAUAUACGUGACUUCUUAGAGGGACUAUCGGUGUGUAGCCGAUGGAAGUUCGAGGCAAUAACA
Molecule: ribosomal RNA, 148 nt
Filed under: uncultured eukaryote
Lineage: Eukaryota
Description: partial 18S ribosomal RNA
Rfam family: Eukaryotic small subunit ribosomal RNA
Source: RNAcentral